Molecule: long non-coding RNA, 614 nt
Organism: Oncorhynchus gorbuscha (pink salmon)
Lineage: Eukaryota; Metazoa; Chordata; Actinopteri; Salmoniformes; Salmonidae
Exons: 2
Source: RefSeq, a predicted model, not a curated record
UAAUUAUGACGAUCAGCAAUUAUGAUUCAAAACGAUAUAAUGUUUAUUACUCGUGAUUUACUAUGGAGUUCUGACAUCUGUCUUUGUUUAGGUUCUGAGGACAACGCCAGUACUACCGGAGGAGGCAGGAAGAGGAUGUGGACAGCAGAGGAGACGGAGUGGGUGAAGGAGGGAGUGAGGCGCUACGGAGAGGGGAACUGGUCCAGAGUAAAGUCCUCUUUCCCCUUCUUGGGCCGAACCUCCGUGAACAUCAAGGACCGGUGGAGAACCAUGAAGAAACUCAAGUUGGUCUGAGGGGACCAAAGCGUCUAACUUGUCCAAUAAGAAAUUAUAUUUUUAAGUUUACAUUUACUACGGGGUGCAGUAACCAAUUCGAACGCUGGAGGGCCUCGGAGCUACGCAAGACGAUGAUGACGUUCUCCAGAUGUGAGACGUUUCCUUUCCACAAAGGAUGCAUGCUUGCCCGUCGCACAUCUGUCAACAGGAAGCUGAAGACUGUCGGAGGACCUUUGGACUAAGAUACAUGUUGAUUCUGCCAUUUUGUUUUAGACAUGUUUAUAGAAGUAUUUUAUCACUUGUCUUUCUUGGUAAAAUAAAGACUUCUCUUCUACUGA